CCUACGGGUGGCUGCAGUGGGGAAUAUUGGACAAUGGGCGAAAGCCUGAUCCAGCCAUGCCGCGUGUGUGAAGAAGGCCUUCGGGUUGUAAAGCACUUUCAGUGGGGAAGAAAGCCUUGGGGCUAAUACCCUCGAGGAAGGACAUCACCCACAGAAGAAGCACCGGCUAACUCCGUGCCAGCAGCCGCGGUAAUACGGAGGGUGCGAGCGUUAAUCGGAAUUACUGGGCGUAAAGCGCGCGUAGGUGGUCUGAUAAGCCGGUUGUGAAAGCCCCGGGCUCAACCUGGGAACGGCAUCCGGAACUGUCAGGCUAGAGUGCAGGAGAGGAAGGUAGAAUUCCCGGUGUAGCGGUGAAAUGCGUAGAGAUCGGGAGGAAUACCAGUGGCGAAGGCGGCCUUCUGGACUGACACUGACGCUGAGGUGCGAAAGCGUGGGUAGCAAACAGGAUUAGAUACCCGGUAGUC
RNAcentral lists this ribosomal RNA (464 nucleotides) under Vreelandella stevensii. RNAcentral describes it as "partial 16S ribosomal RNA". It matches the Rfam family "Bacterial small subunit ribosomal RNA", at positions 338 to 795 of the family's 1533-position model. Lineage: Bacteria; Pseudomonadati; Pseudomonadota; Gammaproteobacteria; Oceanospirillales; Halomonadaceae. The record is from RNAcentral.